GUACUCGCUUCAGCCGUACAUAUACUAAAAUUGAAACGAUGCAGAGAAGAUUAGCAUGGCCCUGCGCAAGGAUGGCACGCAAAAUAGUGAAGCGUCGGUGGCAUAA
This 106-nucleotide small nuclear RNA is filed under the name Trichobilharzia regenti. The record is from RNAcentral. Lineage: Eukaryota; Metazoa; Platyhelminthes; Trematoda; Strigeidida; Schistosomatidae.